RNAcentral lists this ribosomal RNA (2904 nucleotides) under Triticum aestivum (bread wheat). RNAcentral's name for it is "partial small subunit ribosomal RNA". The record is from RNAcentral. Lineage: Eukaryota; Viridiplantae; Streptophyta; Magnoliopsida; Poales; Poaceae.
CUUUUUUUGAGCGUGGACUUUUUUAGAUGCUUUUAAUUGGAUGCGGGGCUGGCGGCGGGCUCCCAGCGGGCGAGGGAGCGCGGGGACAACGAGGGAGGAGCUAGGGCUAGACCUAGCUCCCCUGCUCCUCGAGGACGGAGGGGCUCUGGGGCUGCCGGCCGGAGGAGGAGCGGGGCGGCGACGCAGGCCGCGGCGGUGCCGGAGACCUCGGUCCCUUCGGUACCGGACUCGAGCCGGAGCUCCAGGGGCGGCGGCAGAGGACGUCGAAGACGGGGCGGCGGAGUGGCGGGCUCGAGCGGCAGCGCGGCGGCGGCCGAGACCAGCGGAGGUGGAGGCGAGGUCCGUUGGGAGCCAGCGGCCGAGCGACCUCGUGCUGCCGUCUGCUACCUACGGACCAACACACGCUGCCUACGUCAAGAGUGCGCGUUCGAUCCCAACCUCGGCGGUCGAGAAGUAGGACGGGCGGCCGCCGCUCAGAAGGGCAGGGCAUGACGGCGGAGGGGCAAUAGUGUCCAAGUAGACCAGGAAAUGAGGAGUGUAUUAUUGACACUUUGAAUUACUCCUUGAAGACUUUUUACGAGGGAGGGGAGACUACAGAUAAACCAAUGAAUACGAACACACCAGACCAACAAGGAUUCACGAAAGCCUGUAAUAAUAAACACACUAGUCGUAACUCAUCUAACGGACGUCGUUCUAUUGAACUCAAAAAAAUGAAUUCAUUUGCUAUACAUUUAUCGAGAUUCAAUUGACCUGUAAAACAGCGUAACCGAACUUAGACGUACAACGUAGUAAACACGUGUUACUUUUGACAUACUUGGACGUAACCUACCACAUAAACAUCCUUCCAAUAGGAAAGAAGUUCCUGACCUUCAAAGGACCAUUCACAAGGAAAAAGAAUUUUUGAGACACAAACAAGCGACAUUAUAAAACAAAUGUAGUCCAAAGAGAGAGGAAAACACCCGUAUUACCCGCUCUGUUAUUAUAAGUCUUUCAACAACAAAAUCCCUUUGACGAUUGAGGUAUACAGUCUGGGUAUAGUAACAACUCGUACGUAUCACAAGGAUACAGUAAAGAUACUACAUAAACAAAGGAAAAUAUAGUGUCAUCAGAAGUAAAACCGGUACAUGGAAGUUUGACUUGGUUUUUACCAAACAGACUACUGUACAAACUCCUCUAAGAACUAUACUUUGUCAUCUAUACUCCCACUGGCAAAAAAAACGUUCAAAACAGGCACCUUAGAAAAACGUCAACUAUUCUGUACCCGACCUGAAUGAAGGCUAGACGUUAUAAAAGCCAUUUCACUAAGUUCCUUUGUUUGUAGGUGACACAGUUAGUGAGUUCUACCACGUACGUCAAAAGGACUUUCAAUUCAGACUCUCGGACGAGGAUGUAUUUCGACCCACUGCCCUGCUGCCGGUUAAAGACCCUCCUGUUUACCAACGGCCCACCCGCAAGGCAAAUUCUGGACCGCGGUUGUGACGAGUGAAAACACGGGUUCUCGUGUUGAUCAGUAGAUACCAAACCUACCCCGACCCAAGGAUGUUGCUGCCGUUGUCUCCGCUGUUUGUGGUGAAACGUUGCAGCGGCUUGACACAACGACUUGACUUCAAAUCCCUGUCGUCGUCAAAAUGGUGGCUACCACAACGUACAUUCGACCUACAAGAGUAACAAGACAACCGAGACUAGCCACACAUACGAUACUUCAAUUCCAAGAAUUCUAAUUACUACAAAUAUCUUCACUACGUCCUACACUCCAUGUUGAUAGUUUCACUGUAAUUAAAACCAAGACUAAGGAUAGGCGUCGGAGAAGAUGUGAUCUCUUCCUUUUGUGAGCUGCUAGACCGAGACAGAGUCCAUAUACGAGGGAGCGGGCGUUCUAGGCGAGAGAGGGUAGAUGCGUAGCGUUGUCGUGAAGUCGAGGAGAACACCUAAGAGUGGUCUAGUCCGGUGGAGUGAGUGGAAGUCAGACAGCACUACCUGUUUCAAUUCUAGGGUUGUUUUUCACGAAGAACUACGAUACUACGUCGUUGAAUUGGAAGGUUUAAUGUCAAAUGAUUUGUCUGGAGCGGCCGUCUAGGGAGUCGAUAGUCCCUUCCGUCGGUAGUCGCCUCUAACUCCCGCGGAGAGGCCGCUCUCACGAGUACAGCACCACCAAAAGGUGGUCGUCGCACCCCCUCCGCCACAGGAGACGUCGAUCCAGAUGAAUGACCGCUGGAGUGGUAGUGGUCGGGUGGACGUCUCGUAAACAUUUCCCGUCAACUAGAAGAGUAACCAAAGUAACCGCAACAUACGUUCCAGAGUUUUCCAGACGACAAGGACCUACUAUCGACGUAUACUCCUACAUGCUUCCUAAACCGACGCUUGAGUUAGUCUGGUAACCUAACUUCGACUUCCCCCGUAACGUUUCUAUGCUUCCUUACCGGAAAGCAAGUAUUGGACCAGUCGAUGUGUUGUAGACCAGCAUGUACAAAGACAACGUCGCCGGGUCAAUGCACCUCUUCUUACCGUAUGCGACUCCUAACACAGUCGACUAAAAGAUUGAGUACCUAAGAGUAAAUAGAGAAGUUAAAUGUGUUCCUCCACGUAAUAGUCGAGAAUACAUAAAAGAAUUAUUGGCAACUAUCCUUACUGUUGAUACAACUCUACACCAUCUGGUAACUUACUGAAAACCAGGUCUUACUUUUUAUCUCCGUAUUAAUAACAUUAAAACAACGACGAUUAAAGAAAGUUUGCUUCGUACCGAAGAUUAGGUGUUUAGUGCGAUUGAUUACAAGUAGUGAAGUAUUGCGGAUAUUCUUCAUAGAGAGGAAUAGAUGGAAGGAAGGAUUAUCGUAACAUUUAUAAGAUAGUAUUCGAAGAAUCUUGUAAUACAUAGUACUUAUUAGGUACACAAGGAUAAACGGG